This 274-nucleotide long non-coding RNA is filed under the name Elaeis guineensis (African oil palm). RNAcentral describes it as "long non-coding RNA (EGUI_LNC018634)". The record is from RNAcentral. Lineage: Eukaryota; Viridiplantae; Streptophyta; Magnoliopsida; Arecales; Arecaceae.
CUGGUUAUGACAUGGAGGAGGAGACUGUGGAUCAAAUCCUCUUUAUUUGCCCUAAAGCUUGAUGGGUAUGGAGGAUGGGGGGCUUUUCUCAGUGACUGCUACUCUCGUGGAGCCAGCUCAAGUCUUUUUGGAGGUUCUCCAAAGGAGUAUGGACUCUGAUUUAUCUAGGGCCAUGGGAAUCAGAGUUGUUUGUAUUAUUUGUUACAUCUGGUAGAUUAGGAACUGGAGCAUUUUUUGAGGUGACUUGGCAGCGACGAGACUCACCUUGGAGAGG